This 285-nucleotide ribosomal RNA is filed under the name Cryptosporidium meleagridis. Its description in RNAcentral is "partial small subunit ribosomal RNA". It matches the Rfam family "Eukaryotic small subunit ribosomal RNA", at positions 772 to 1061 of the family's 1831-position model. Lineage: Eukaryota; Apicomplexa; Conoidasida; Eucoccidiorida; Cryptosporidiidae. The record is from RNAcentral.
UGCUUAAAGCAGGCAUAUGCCUUGAAUACUCCAGCAUGGAAUAAUAUUAAAGAUUUUUAUCUUUCUUAUUGGUUCUAAGAUAAAAAUAAUGAUUAAUAGGGACAGUUGGGGGCAUUUGUAUUUAACAGUCAGAGGUGAAAUUCUUAGAUUUGUUAAAGACAAACUAAUGCGAAAGCAUUUGCCAAGGAUGUUUUCAUUAAUCAAGAACGAAAGUUAGGGGAUCGAAGACGAUCAGAUACCGUCGUAGUCUUAACCAUAAACUAUGCCAACUAGAGAUUGGAGGUU